Molecule: ribosomal RNA, 464 nt
Filed under: uncultured bacterium
Lineage: Bacteria
Description: partial 16S ribosomal RNA
Rfam family: Bacterial small subunit ribosomal RNA
Source: RNAcentral
ACGAACGCUGGCGGCGUGCUUCACACCUGCAAGUCGCACGGAAAGGCCCUGCUUGCAGGGUACUCGAGUGGCGAACGGGUGAGUAACACGUGGGUGAUCUGCCCUGCACUUCGGGAUAAGCCUGGGAAACUGGGUCUAAUACCGGAUAGGAGCCAUUUUUAGUGUGAUGGUUGGAAAGUUUUUUCGGUGUAGGAUGAGCUCGCGGCCUAUCAGCUUGUUGGUGGGGUAAUGGCCUACCAAGGCGGCGACGGGUAGCCGGCCUGAGAGGGUGGACGGCCACAUUGGGACUGAGAGACGGCCCAGACUCCUACGGGAGGCAGCAGUGGGGAAUAUUGCACAAUGGGCGCAAGCCUGAUGCAGCGACGCCGCGUGGGGGAUGACGGCCUUCGGGUUGUAAACUCCUUUCGCUAGGGACGAAGCUUUUUGUGACGGUACCUAGAUAAGAAGCACCGGCUAACUACGUG